CUUUGCAUCUCCCUCUUGCCUUCCCCUCGCCCCAUUUUCAUCAUAGUCUUGUGUUCCCCUGUCACCUGGCUUCAGUUAGAAAGACAAGAAUAAACAGGAAAAUUACUUGCAGAAGAUAGUUUGAGAAUCAUCCCACCUGUUGCCUGCCUGAACCAAGAACCAGAUCCCAGAGAAGGACUGUGCCAUACUAGUUGGUUGCAGAUCUACUAGGAUCCUAACGUUGUGAGAGAUCUAACAGGUCGUGAUUCCUGGGCAGAUGCUUAUUCCUAUCUCUGGCUGCUGACCCUUGGUUUGACUUUCUGGUUCCUGGUUUUUGGCCAUGAACGUUUGCCUCAUUUCAAGUUCUGGACACAGGCCCUAACCUUUGGGCUGGAUAGCCCCUGCUCCAGUCUGUAAUCCUAGACAGCCACCAGGUCAUCUGUAGUAGAGAGUACUCUAAUUUACUCAAUAACAAAUAAAAUCU
This is a long non-coding RNA of Haemorhous mexicanus (house finch), 463 nucleotides long. RefSeq lists it as uncharacterized. The record is from RefSeq and is a predicted model, not a curated record. NCBI's taxonomy places the organism in Eukaryota, Metazoa, Chordata, Aves, Passeriformes, Fringillidae. The transcript is spliced from 3 exons.